Molecule: long non-coding RNA, 4286 nt
Filed under: Equus asinus (donkey)
Lineage: Eukaryota; Metazoa; Chordata; Mammalia; Perissodactyla; Equidae
Description: lncRNA (ENSEASG00005031383.1)
Source: RNAcentral
UGGGCCUUGAGUCUCUGUCCCCGCCGCCCUCCAAGGCCACUUGGAUCCUCCGGGACCCAGCAGGAAGGAAGCCUUUGCUGGCCUCUGGCUUCAGCGUCCAGGACACUUCCCGCGCCCCCUCCUGCCUGAGCAGAGCCCAGCUUGAAUCCAUCCCUUUGACUUGGGGGAAGCACCGCCCUGCUUUGGCCUCACUUCGGGGGCCAAAUAUUUCAAUUAUGAGGACGUGGUCAAGCCCUGCCCACUCCAGCCUCAGUGACGGGCCGUGAAGAGAGGGUGUCUCUGGGGGGAGAGGUGGGCGGGAUGCAGAGGGAGCCGCAGACGGGAGAGGGGACGGGGGCUGAGCGGGGGUUGGCAGAGCAGACAGGCCUUCUCCGCUGGCUGAGAACAAAACCACCGGCAGCGAGGAAAAUAUGUGCGAGGCAUUUUUGCAAUUCCAAGAGGCUCGGUCCAGCUCUCGCCCAGACGGUCAAUGAAUCAAAGCUGGGAAAGGCUCUACCUGUCAGCAGACUUUCUCCUGGCCCUGCUCACCAAGGCCCCACCCCUCUGGCCCCAGCAGGCCAGCUGGAACCCUCCCAGUUCCCCAGAAGGACGGUUCUUCGAAGAAGAGUGUGUCACAAGCAAAAGCCAGAGGCAGGCAGCCCACGGGCAGAACCCUUGGCAUCCUUCUCUGCCUGUUCUUCUCGCAGGAGCGUAGCCUGUGUCGCCUGUUACCUUGGGUUGAAUGGUGGCUCCCGAAAAGAUAUUUCCACGUCCUGGUCCUUGGAACCUGUGAAGGUGUCCUUAUUUGGAAACAGAAUCUUUGCAGAUUAAUUAAGUUAAAGAUCUCGAGGUGAGAGCAUCCCAGAUUAUCUGAGUGAGCCCCAAAUCCAAGGACAAGUGUCCCUAUAAGAGACAAAGAGGAAAGAAGAGGAGAAGACCAUGGGAAGGUGGAGGCCGAAAUCGGAGUGAUGCGGCCACAAGCCAAGGAAUGCCUGGGGCCACCAGAAGCUGGAAGAGGUGAGGAAGGAUCCUCCGCUGGAACCUUCGGAGGGAGCUCAGCCUUGCCAACCCCUUGGUCUUGGACUUCUGGCCUUCAGAAUAGCGAGAGAAUAAAGGACUGCUGUUUGAAGCCGCUCAGCUUGCGCCUCAGAGACUCACAGCUUCAGAGAUAGGAGAGUUUUUGUGGGAAUCCAGGCCCAGAGAGGAGCAGCGGCUUACUUGAGGGAAUACAGCCAGGACUCAGCCCAGAAUCACCUACUCCAGGAAGCCUUACUGGAUUGCCUUUCCCUUUGCUCCAGCUCCCCAUCCCCAGACAUUUCUAUGAAUGAGAUCAAAGAAUAUGCGGACUUUUGUGACUGGCUUCUUUCACUUAGAAUAACAUUUUCAAGGUUCAUCUAUGUUGUGCCACCCGAGCAGGUGUGGAGUGGGGAGCUUCACACCUUUUCAUUGCCAGGCAGCAAGGCGUGGUGACGGAGCCCUGAAGACAGACCCAGGGCUGGAAGCCCAACUCUUCACUUCUGUUGGGUCUUUCUGCCUCGCUGAGCCUCAUCAUUCUCUUCUGUGGAAUGGAACCACAGCACGUGGAUGAGAGACAGUGAAUGUAAGGUGUUUAGCAUAGUUGCUGGCAUACAACACAUGCUCAAUAAAUGUGAACUAUAAUAACAGCUACAGUGCUCACUCCAAAAACCUUGCACAGUUUCUGGCACACCGUAGGCCCUCGUGGGUGUGGGUGGAGUAACUGAUGGCAAGUGUGCCCCGGGAAGGGCGCCAGCUGAGGGCCUGGGCAGGCCUGGAGGGGGCCCUGGGAGGAGCUCACAGCCUCUGGCUCAGGGGCCCCUUGGCCAGAGCCCUGUCCAGCCCAGCUCUUGUCUGGCAUGGGGAGCAGUUUUAUUUCUACAGGCGUUUUGCGACUCAGCACAUGUAAGCUUCCUCCUGAUGGUUUGAAUUAGAAAGCAGCUGAUGCCUUCUGGAAAACCCAGGGAAAAACAUUAUUGUUGGAGGCCAGUCUCCUCAUUGGCAGAGCCGACUGCACUGGUCUGGCAUUCCGGAGCACAAAAGCCUUCGCCGGCAAAAUCGGAGCCUUCCCAUCGGGGCUCCCCUCCUCUCCGCCCUCCCUCUCAUCCAGCCCUGGCUGGGCCUGGCAAGUGCUGGCUGCCGGAUGGGAGUCAGGACAAGAAUCCUCUGGCUGUCUAGGCCCGUCCACUCCAGCAGCAAGUUGGUGGACGAGGUCUGACUCAACUCCCAGCCUGGCAAAUGUCUGGGGUCUGGCGUGCAGACGAAGGUGGUACCCACUGCAGGGAACAGGGCCAGGAGGAAGGUGGCAACAGGCUGGCUAGACACGGAGAUCGGAAAAGGAGAGAGUGUUACUGCUCUUAUUGGACGAAUGAGGAAACUGAGGCUCAGAGAGGUGAUGUCAGCUGCCCACGGUCACAGAGCCAGCAAGUGGUAGCCUGAGGACUAGACCCCAGGCCUGCUCUGAGGCCCACCUUGCCUUUUUGCACUGAGAAUGGGGGUAAAAGCACUUUGUGAACCAAAAGGCAUGGUAUACCUGGGAGGGUUUUAAAUACCAUUCCUAUUGCUGUUUUCCUGGGGAGGUGGUCAGAAGCUGGCAUGGCCUCCCCUCCAGCCGGCCAUCGGCCUUGCUGCAGCUUCUGCUUGGUCACCAACAGUUCGAGCCACAUGACCAGGGCUGCCUUAUCUCCUCGAGGGUGGCAGGCCCCUGUUCCCAGAAGCCCGGCUUCAGAUGGGCAGCAGCGAUUGUAGAGAUCUGCAGGGCCCCGAUAAAGCCGCUGCAGCAGGGGACAGACGGAUGGAAGUUCCCCUCAUGCCACUUCCUUCAGUGGCUGGUAUGGCCCCAGCUCCUUAAGCUCUUCCACUUCCUCACAAGGAUAGGGGCCCGGAGUGGCCAACAGAGCUCAGUGGGGUUCAGUCCCCAGUAACCCGCCCCCAUUCCUGGCAUCCCCCCUUCACGGCCCUGGGUCUAGGACCCUGGCCAUGAGGGUGCUCUUGUCUCCACCCCAGGGAGUGUUGGGACGAGCAGACGAGGUGACACUCGAUGUGCACGCGAGAGGCUGACGCUCUUUAUCCAUCUCCCCAGUCCGUGUGCCUUAGCCAUGUUGUCCCUCUUCUUUUCUGUGAUCUUUCCAAACCCUGCCCCUCCUAUAAGGGUGAGUCUGAAUGUCACCUUCUCCCCAAAGCUGUCCUGGACCUCCUCUGGCCUGUCACCUCCUGUGCUUCCUCUCGCAGCAUUGGAAUCGGCCCCUUCAGAGAAUAAAAGGACGGGAAGGAUGGCUAUCCACGUGCUGAGCCACAAAUGACUUUGACACUUUUCCCCUGCUGUGUAUGUGUUUGCGUCCCAUCUUUUCUGCACUGUGCAUAAUUUCCUUGUAUAAUUAGAAAAGAAUUCCAAAUAAAUGCUAUUGUCGAGAAGGAUCUGCUCCACUUGGUGGAACGCUUCAUUGAAACCAUGAGCCUUGCGUCUGUCAGUGCUGCGUUGACCGUGGUGGUCCAGGCAGUGGGUCUUACACCUGAUGCCCUGUGCACACCCACUCACCAUGGGACACGGAGCAGCAAUUCAUUCCCUUCGGGUGUGACUCUCACGAACUCACCAGCCUCACCUUUGUCCGCUCCAGCCCCGGGGACAUCCACCACUAUCUGUUGGAGGUGUCCCCGGAGUCCUCACCCACUCUCCCAUUUCCAAGGUCCAAGAUGCUGUCACAGUGCAGCUCAAAUUCCAUCUCCUCUGGGCUUCCUGGCCAUGCCUGCCCUGAGCCCGGCUCCUUCUUGGCCUCAGGUUGCUGAUUAACUGCCUCCCCCGCUAGACCGUAAGUUCCUUAGGAACAGGGGACACAUCCCACACCUCCCCGCCUCCCAGCGCCUGGCAUGGAGCCCGGCACACAGCAGAGCAGGUGCUCAGGAAGAAGUCGAGUGCAGGAACCCUAAGAGUGAUGAUCACGGUUAUGAUGAUGGCAGCCACUGUUUCCCGGACACUGACCUUGAACCUCCACCGCUCAGCUCGUUACCUGGAUUAUGUCAUGUAACCCCCAGCAACCUAGAGACUCAGGUGCUGAUAAGUGCAUCUUACAGAGGAGAAAAGGCAACCGUGAAAGGAAGGCCUGGACAUCAGACUGUGUGCUGGGGGCGGGAUGCUGGGGUGGCGAACCACCUCCUCCUGCCUUAGUUUCCUCUGCUGUACAGGGGCCUGACACCUGUGCUCCUUUCCUCCCUCCAGGGGGCUGUCGGGGUCGAACAGGACAGCGAGCACGUCAUCGAGUGCAAACAGCUGCAUAAAUGCAUGGCGUGGUGGA